Molecule: long non-coding RNA, 1463 nt
Filed under: Anser cygnoides (Swan goose)
Lineage: Eukaryota; Metazoa; Chordata; Aves; Anseriformes; Anatidae
Description: lncRNA (ENSACDG00005006823.1)
Source: RNAcentral
AUUCAACAGUUAGAGGUACAGCCAAUGAAGGAGGAGAUGCCAACCCCAAACCUUGGUUUCCAAGCCUGCCUUCUCAUGUGCUGUAAAUAAGACAAAGGACUUGGAGUUGGAAGUUUUCUGCUACACUUAUAUAGGAUGCACAGAGAGCAAAUUCCGAAGGAGACAAUCACAGAUGUCCUCAGUACGGAAGACUAAAUUUGGCUUAAGUUCCAGGAUUAAUGACUGUGCAGUUAGUUAUUGUUAAAAUGGGAUUGACUGCCAAGUUUGUUAAAAAGUGUCAGUAAUUAAGCUUCAAAAUAUUUUCUUCUUAUGUAAGCUAAUGUAGUCAUAUCUUUGAAGUCAUCACGCACCAUGAUUUGAUUGGUACAGCCCAGAUUUAACACGCAUCUUUGGCUAUUCUUUCCAAAUAAUUAAAAUGUCUUAGCAUUUUCAUUUGAUCAGCUAAAUUUUUAGUUACUGGGAAAAAAUUAGAUAUUCUGAUGCCAUGUAGAAGAAGCUUAUGUAUAACAGAAACAAAUAAUUCAGUGUAAUGACUGUUCUUAGUGAUGAACAGUGCUUGGAGAGGAGCUAAGGCCCGCAACACAAAGCUACGCUUUUGAUUACUAAUGAGUGUCCUUCACGAUAGCAUAACGAAACAAAUGGGACUCAAAGUUACUCAGAGAAACCCUUCUUUGAGGGGUGGAAAGAGAGGAAUGUGUUACAGCUGAAUGAGAGGCUGACAGAAGAGAAAUUUGCAAAAUGAAGAAAAAGUCCCUCACUUUUAAACACUUUCUUUUUUUUUGGACUAGAAAUUAAAUAGGAGAUGAGUGCGUACAACUGUUAACACACAGUCAGGUUGGGAUAUGCAGGAGAAAACCUCAGAAAGUUUUGUUAGCCGCAUCAGGAUUGAACUCAUUUGAGUGAAGACUGUAAUGAUGGUAGAAACUGAAAAUCCUUUCCUUUUUACCCUCUCUGCUCACAUGAGGAAGGCGAGACACUUGCUUAAAAUACACUAUACCUAAACAGGGGUAUUUGGAAUUAUCAGCUUAAAGCUAAACAGACUCUGCAGAUUUUUUUUUUAUUUUUUUUUGGUGGUGGUGGGUGGGGAGGGAGGGGUAAUGGUGUUGUUCAUUGGUGAUUGUUUUUGGAAAUCUGGGUAAUUUUAUGACUGACCUAUGUAAAGGUAAGACUCAUGUCCCUGGUCCAACACUCAGACAUAUGGUGGUUUAAUAUCUCCCAUGGGUCAGCUGAAACUGUUUAGUGAACCACUCAUCUUCUGACUUGAGUUUUAUAGCCAGGUUUCUUUUCCUGCUAAAACUUUGAUGAACUUCCCUUGAACAGCUGCAUGUAAGAAGUAUUUGAUGGAAGGCUUAAUUUCAACCUGAUAUAAAAGGCUUCAAACUAGCUAUCCAGAACUAAGGUCUUGCUAAUUGCCCUAUAGCUUCUUCUUAAUGUCUGCAAAUAAAACAGUUAUACAGAUUCCA